UGAAAGAAGGGAAUGGAGACCUUUUGUUUCCUGCUUUUUUGCUGUCGGUUUACUCGUGUUUGACUUGCUUUAUUUAUACAAAAAUCCUUGGUAUUUUUGUUCUGAAAUUUUUGAUCCUUCCCACUUUUUGAAUUUGCCAUUUCAUUUAGUUAUUAUGUUACUUUGUUGCUCAGAUGGCAUUUCUCUUUGAGCUUUGAUAAGCUUAAGGUCUAUGAUGUUUACUCUUUACUCAAGAGAACCAGUUAAACAGGGCUAAUUCAGAAAACAGGUUUUAAUUGAGUGUGAAACUCACAGCCAGUCUUCCAAAACCCAACAGCCAAGGGCUGUUUACAGCUGAAUGGGUUUACAGGAAUCAGGCUUACUAACUUUGUCACCGUGGCCACCAGAUCCAGUCUGUGUCCAGAUCAGAGGGUCACUGCAGUCACCCGGAUCCAGUACGUAUCCAGACCAGAUGGUGGAUCAGCACCUAGAAAGGACCUCUACUGCCCUGAAAGACAGCGGAGACCAGGACAACUAGAGCCCCAGAUACAGAUCCCCUGUAAAGACCUUGUCUCAGAGGACCACCAGGACAAGACCACAGGAAACAGAUGAUUCUUCUGCACAAUCUGACUUUGCUGCAGCCUGGAAUUGAACUACUGUUUUCGUCUGGUCAGAGGAGAACUGGCCCCCAGCUGAGCCUGGUUUCUCCCAAGGUUUUUUUCUCCAUUCUGUCACCGAUGGAGUUUCGGUUCCUUGCCGCUGUCGCCUCUGGCUUGCUUAGUUGGGGUCACUUCAUCUACAGCAAUAUCAUUGACUUGAUUGCAAAUAAAAACAGACACUAUUUCAACUGAACAGAGAUGACAUAACUGAAUUCAAUGAUGAACUGCCUUUAACUAUCAUUUUGCAUUAUUGAGACACUGUUUUCCAAAUGAAUGUUGUUCAGUGCUUUGGCGCAAUGUAUUUUGUUUAAAACACUAUAUAAAUAAAGGUGAUUGAUUGAUUGAA
Molecule: long non-coding RNA, 984 nt
Organism: Carassius gibelio (silver crucian carp)
Lineage: Eukaryota; Metazoa; Chordata; Actinopteri; Cypriniformes; Cyprinidae
Exons: 3
Source: RefSeq, a predicted model, not a curated record